GGAGAAUUGGCCGAGUGGUUUAAGGUGCACGCUUGGAAAGCGUGUGUAGGGGAAACUCUACCGUGGGUUCGAAUCCCAUGUUCUCCG
Bdellovibrionales bacterium is the source of this 87-nucleotide non-coding RNA. Lineage: Bacteria; Pseudomonadati; Bdellovibrionota; Bdellovibrionia; Bdellovibrionales. The record is from Rfam.